This is an RNA transcript of Xiphophorus hellerii (green swordtail), 5833 nucleotides long. It is a transcript of the gene named gamma-crystallin M2-like, with no coding region annotated. The transcript has 17 exons. NCBI's taxonomy places the organism in Eukaryota, Metazoa, Chordata, Actinopteri, Cyprinodontiformes, Poeciliidae. The record is from RefSeq and is a predicted model, not a curated record.
GACGAAGAAGUUCACGUUAGUGCGCAUGCUCGCCAGCUCGGCGGAUUUUUUUUGUUUGUUUUUGAAAAGAGUUUUCAGUCUUGAAUUACAGGCGUGCAAAGCUGACACAUUCUUGAAUACAGUAAUUUGUGUCGUUCCCUUCGACGAUUUUUCUUUUUUUAGAAGAUAAGCCCUCCAACUCGAGGACUUUAAUAGACGUCUGAUGGUGCCUCCCAGGAAAACGAUGACACCGUCGAAGCAGACAUCAGCUGUGGCUUCAAAGAUCAAAAACAAAAUUAUCAACACCUCCUCCUUCUUCAAGGUCUCCCUGAAGACCAACAACAAGGCCCUGGCUCUCGCUCUGCAGGCCCAAAAGGAGAAGAGCAGGCAGCUUGAGAUGGAGGUGGUGCUCCUGCAAAAACAAGUCAAGGAUCUCUGCUUCCAGCUGGCCACCAAGAAACACAACCAAAGGAAACUGAUGCUCAUCGUGAAAAAUCUCCAUAAUAACACUCUGCAGCAGCUGGACAUGAUGGCAGAACUUGUCUUUGAUAAGGAUUCUCCAAGGCUGUCAGAGAGCUGCCACUACCCAACAGAUAAAAACAAAGAGAACGAUGCAGCAGCGCGUAGGCCUGAAAUGUUAAGGAAUCCUUUCUGCCACAACAAAAACUUGGAAGCAACACUAGGUCUGCCUGAAGGAAACCCUCAUCUGGAUGUUUUAAGUGUCCUAACCAGAUGCAGCAACCCCUCUGAUAUUUUUCAUGAAAAAGCUGAGGAAAGGCGUUUGAGUCAACGUGUUCAACCCACUCAGACAGGAUCAUGUUGUCCUCCACGCAGCAGCCUGAGGAGUGAAGUGGAGCGCCUGUCCAGAGCCUUGUCCCAGUCCAGCUCUGAAAUAAACUCUGUCCUCUGUCCUCAGAACAAUCAAACGCAUGAAAACUCCACAACAUCCCUUUCUAGUGACGUAAACGCUCCAAGUGUGUCUGCCUCAGAAACUGAGCCUCAGUUAGCAAAAGCUGACAAUACAGUGCUUCUCAAUUCGUCGAUGGAGAUUACGUUGAGUAAUGCAGUUGAAAUUGUCACCGUUGAAACCAAAGCCAAGAAGAAAGGUCCUUCCUGUGAGACGAAAGGCACAAAGAGUCAACAGGUGGGUCCCAGUCCAGAUGUCCAGAAUGGUUUCAACCACAGACCAAAUAAGGAACCUGUGGCAAUUUCUACUCAAAAAAAUAAACCAGAAGAUAAAGACUCAGGAGUUCUUGAGGUACAGUUACCCAAAAAACACGCCAACAAUAUGAAAACAUCUCGCAUCCCCAAGCUUGUCAGUCAUCAGAAGACAUCCAAGAGCGAUACCGACUGCUGUGACACUGUCUCACAGGAUUUGGAUGAUUAUUUAUCCAACUCUAAAGUUAGCUUGUUGAAGGCUGGAGGCAGUGAACCUGAAGAAGGUUCUAAAAUCACCUACAGACGGUCCAGAACUAAAGUAAGGAGACGCUCUAUGGUCAUUCAAAAGACCCCGUCAGUCCGUCUGUCUCAUGAUGACGAGAGCCAACAGUCCAAACCGGAGAAGGUCCACGAUGAAGAGGAAGCAGAAAACACAGAGCCACCCCCACCACAGGAAUACGUAUUCCAUCCAGUGGAAGUGGCAGGUCUUGGGUCAGAGGAGAAUCACCCUCCUGUAGCCAGGAGGAAAACGCAGACCAGACCGAGAUGCAGAGGAACUUUUGUCAUCUCUGUUUCUAGGAACAGUAACUCCCUGGGUCUGGACAGUGACAUGAUGUUUCCUGGAGAACCCCACUGUUCAGCUGAGGAGUUGUUGGAGGAUCUGGCUCAGAGUUCUGGACAUUUCCAUGCAGUUCAGCAAACAGCAACCCGCAGCGCUUCAAAGCGCCCUCUGGUGGAAACAUCAGAGCAUAACAUGGAAGUCCUGCCAACAGAUGAAUGUGACCGUUCAGAGAACCCCACACGUAAAAAAUCCAGACGAGACGAAGCAGGAGGCUCCAGGAACAGGAUGACGUCAUCACUGGAGAAAUGUGCUGAUGGUUACGACUCCAGGCAAAAGAGAAAAACAAGCAAGAGCAGCAAAAAGGUUUUAUCUGAAGAUGAAUCUGGUCUGCAUCCUGUCUGCAGUGAUCAGCUUCUUCUCUGCAGCCCUUACAGUCUGGAGGUCAGGAAGGGAGGUGAAGAGGAUUCUCAGAUGCUCCUCAGCCAUGAUCAUUAUGACAUUGGUGAAAAUCCGCCUGAUCCUAAAGUCUCCAAAGGCAGGAAUGCUGCAAAACCACAAAGGAAGACAAAGCUGCAUACAGCAGCCGAAACCAGGAACCUAAGGGAAACGUUUGUCAUCCACAGACUGACAUCUCAGGACAAAAGCAAGAGUAUUUCUGUCAAUAACACAAAGACAUCCGUUGCUAAUGAUGAGACGGCUCAUCUGGAUGUCGGCUUUCUGCUAAUGGAUGUGCAGCCACCAUGGCUGCUUGGAGAGCUCAAUACUGUGGACCCAGAGUUCAAUUCUAUACUCAGCUCUCCAAACAGGAGCCCAUCAUGCAGGCUGGCGGUGACUGAGGGGUCAGCUAGAGCCUCACCAGCAGGAAGAGCUCUAACAUCGGUUACCAACACCUUUCCAAACCCAUAUGAUGAAAACAAAGGAAGAAGCAGGAGAAGGAACUGUGGGGUCAGCUAUAAGGAGCCACCACUGAACAGGUGAAAACGUCGGGACGCACUGAAAGGAACUCAGAGAGCAAUGCAGGCUAUGUGACCAGUGCUACAGUGACGCUGGUUACUCAAAGGAAACUUAGGCGUGGAGAUGAUUUUACAGACACCACAUUCCUGAGUUCUCCGGUGUUUAAAGACCGGAAGAAGAAGAACAAGAAGACGAAGCAGUAGCAGAAACCAGUGGGGUGGGCUGUGGACAAACAACAACAAAUACUUUUUCCUUGUGAUAAAUCCAAUGUUCUAGUUUCCUGCAGCUUUUCAAAAUGGUCUCAGAACGUUUGUUGUUUUAACUCGGCAUGUGUUCAAAUUUGUAGUGUUAAGACUUUUUAGAUUUUUCACAUUGUUGUCAUUGGGGAUGUAACAGCUGUUUGCUCCUGAUGGGAGGCCAGCUGUAAAUAAUUGAGUGGAAGCUGAUAACCUGAUACUCCCUGUGAUGUUCAGCUGCACAAGAUAAAGUCUCAGUGUAGCCAACCAUGUUUAGGAUUUGCUGUGUGAGCAUGCCAAGUGAAGAUCUCCAAGCUCCACUUUCUGCUCCAUCAGCUUGUGUUGUGAGUAUAAAUCUUAACAUUUUAGAUCUGUUGAAGUUUGUAUGGUUUUUUUUAUUAUUAAACGUAUUUAUCAGAAAACUUAAGCUUGAGUUAGUUGCUGUUUUUGGUAAUUCUGUCUGUCUGAGAUCAAGCCUCCUACCUGUUAAACUCAGAACUCCAUUUACCUUCAGGAAGUAUUCAGUCUAUAUUGGCCACGCUUCAGAAUAAUAAAUUAACAGCCGCUUUGUUCUGCUCGGCACUUCUCUCUGCACAGUGAAGGAUGGUUGUUUAAUCUCCAGGCAACUUCUGACAAACUUUACAGUAUCUAAUUGGUGCAUUACAUAUGUCACUGAUGAAUGUUAGCAACUGAGUAAAAUUUGAAACUUCAACGGAGUCCAGACCUCCAGGAAGCAAUUGUUUCUCAAUAGCUGAGAACCCGGGCCCUCUGGACGAAGCCAAGUGUAGUACAAGGGGCUUGUUUUCAGUCAAGAUAGCAAAAAAUUUCUACAGUAUAUUUAAAAUUUAGAACUGAAAAUCUCCUUUUGCUUUCUUGUAACGAUGGGUGCUUUCAGCGAAGUACAGUUUAUGCUUACAAAACCCAUUGGGCUUGAAUCACUAUGUAAUUGCAAUGAAUCUUUUCUAAGCUGUUCAUGGUUAGAAAACCAUGAACAGUGGUUUGUAAAUUUCAGUGUUUACAAAGCAAACACUGAAAUUUUUGAGCCCAUGUGAAUGAGUGCAGGGGAGGGCUUUGGUCGAUCCUUCUCUAUACCCACUUAUUCCUUCCAAGGGUUUAUGGGGGUGAAGCCAUUCUUCAGUGGUCUAUGAAUUCAUUUAGCUCCCAUCAUAGGACCAACACAUUUGACAAACAAGACAACCAAAGAUUCACAUACCCUCACACUUCAGGGCAAUUUAUACAGUCAGCCUAUCCCCACCCUGUGUUUCUGGGCUGGGGGAGGAUUCAGACAAAACCUACACACACCAACAGGGAGAACAAGCAAACUCAACAAAGAAAGGUCCAAUCUGGACUGAUGCAUAAACAUUUCACUCUGAAAAUGGAGACAAAGCGACUGAAGAGAGACGUUCAAUUACUCAUAAGUAAUUAUGUUGGUCAGAAGAUCCUGGAGAACUCAUUUGAUCCGAGUGGGAGGGGACGCACAACGGUGCUUGAUGACUUGGUUCAGUAUGAUCUUGAUGCCUUGUGGUUGAACAGAGACAGUCGACAUGUGCUUGAUGCAGACAUAAUUGGAGCCAUUUGCAGCUUAGGAAUUCCUCAGCAUCCGAAUCGCUUACAGCGAGAAGCAAUGAUCCUCUCAUGUUUCGCUGGAAUUAUUAUGAGCAGACUGCCAGUGGAGAAAAUCCUGGCUCUGUACAGAUGUAAGCCAGUUGUUUCUUUACCCAGCCAUCAGUCUAAGGGGUCAAUUGUAUGCCCCCUCACUCUGUCCUACCAUCCAUUUGCCAUGCUCAGAUCUUACAAGGCUGUACAACACGCCAAGAGACACAAUCAGAAGCUGAAAAGAUGGCUGUCUGAGCAGGCAAAAGCGAAAGCCCCAAAGAGACCCGUUCCUCCACCAUCUUCAUCUCCGUCUUUGCCUGAGUCCUUUCUCAGCGAAAGCAGUGGAUGUCAUCAGGAAGCAGCUGAGCACUAUGAGGGUUCACAAGAGUCUUUGCAGGACUGAAGCUGCCAUCCAGCUGUGUGACUUUGGUUGAAUGUUCCUCACAAUGGUUUUCUGUAAUUCUGGCCCAUUCCUCCCAACAGAACUGAACUGAUGUAACUGAGUCAGACAUGUAGAACCAUUUCACUUACACACACAUGUUCAGCUUUGCUCACAUUUUUUUCUAUGGGACUAUGUUUAAGGUUUUAUGGUCACUAAGAAACAUUUACUUUCUUGUCCUUAAGCCAGAAUGUAACUAAUGCAGAUAAAUAUUUGGAGUCAUCAGUUUCCAUCCAAGUUUUAACAUCCUGGCCAAUGUCUUUAGAUCUUGUUUUCUCCAUACCGUUGUUUUCUCAUGACCCCGUCUACUAUAUGAAGAGCGCCAGUCCCUCCACAACAUCAUGCUGCCACUUCAUACUUUCCAUUUCAGUUGUUUUUGCAAAUUUCCCCCAAUUAUUUCAUCACAUGUAAAAAGUGUUUAUGGUCAAACACUUUAAUUUUAGAUUUGUUCAAUGAGAGGAGAAACCCUAAAAGAAUUAGGAUCUUUGACAUGCAUUUAGCUUUGAUAUUUUAGUCUAUAAGAAGCAUACGAAGCCAUGACAUCAACAUUUUGUCUUUCCCCAAUUGCUUAAAGUAGCUGUUUAGUCAGAUUCAGUGUUGAUCAAUAAGAAAAAUGUCUGUACUUGUAAAAUAUAUUGGAGCCAAACUUACAUCUACCCUGUGUGGUCCAAUGGAAGGUUAACAUAACAUGUUUAAACUUAUUCUAUGUAGAGCAAUGAACAAACAGAGUUGUAUAAAUCUGAUAUCAUGUCACCAAAGUCACAUUUUCUGUUGGACUCCACCAGCUGCACAGUUAUUGUUGACCUCUGGCAUGUUCCCCAACAAAGAUUAAACUCCUCUGUGUUGGAUGGGUGGAUAAAAUGUGUUCCUGAUGUUGAUAUCAAUAAAGAGGGCAGAGAUGGUCAGUAA